GGACAACAUCUCGAAAGGGAUGCUAAUACCGCAUACGUCCUACGGGAGAAAGCAGGGGACCUUCGGGCCUUGCGCUAAUAGAUGAGCCUAAGUCGGAUUAGCUAGUUGGUGGGGUAAAGGCCUACCAAGGCGACGAUCUGUAGCGGGUCUGAGAGGAUGAUCCGCCACACUGGGACUGAGACACGGCCCAG
This 191-nucleotide ribosomal RNA is filed under the name uncultured Pseudomonadales bacterium. RNAcentral describes it as "partial 16S ribosomal RNA". It matches the Rfam family "Bacterial small subunit ribosomal RNA", at positions 141 to 334 of the family's 1533-position model. Lineage: Bacteria; Pseudomonadati; Pseudomonadota; Gammaproteobacteria; Pseudomonadales. The record is from RNAcentral.